GGCUUGUUCGGGCCUGAGCUGGCGCUACGAAGUUCCGGUCCAGGUCUCUGACUUCGGGCUUGUUCGCUGGUGGCGUCGGAGCCGAGCCGGACUGGUCAGGGUUCCAGGACAUAGUCUGAGGCAAGAUGGAGGGUAUGAGGGGCCUUCACACUUCACUUCAUCCCUUCUACCCAUCACAACAUACAAAGCAACUACACCUGGAUUUUUCCAAACAACUUUUAUUUCCUCAGAGUCUUCCUUAAUCCUAUGGAACAAGAAGCUGCCACUGAAUAGGGCCCAGUAUAGGGGCUUGCUUUUCUACUCCCUCCCCCCAAUAUAAAAAUAUAGACUUUUUUUUGUGGUCCC
RNAcentral lists this long non-coding RNA (345 nucleotides) under Homo sapiens (human). RNAcentral's name for it is "non-protein coding lnc-CGREF1-2:1". Lineage: Eukaryota; Metazoa; Chordata; Mammalia; Primates; Hominidae. The record is from RNAcentral.